UACGGGGGGGGGCAAGCGUUGUUCGGAAUUACUGGGCGUAAAGGGCUCGUAGGCGGCCAACUAAGUCGGAUGUGAAAUCCCCAGGCUUAACCUGGGAACUGCAUCCGAUACUGGAUGGCUUGAAUCCGGGAGAGGGAUGCAGAAUUCCAGGUGUAGCGGUGAAAUGCGUAGAUAUCUGGAGGAAUACCGGUGGCGAAGGCGGCAUCCUGGACCGGCAUUGACGCUGAGUGAGCGAAAGCUAGGGGAGCAAACGGG
RNAcentral lists this ribosomal RNA (255 nucleotides) under uncultured bacterium. Its description in RNAcentral is "partial 16S ribosomal RNA". It matches the Rfam family "Bacterial small subunit ribosomal RNA", at positions 524 to 776 of the family's 1533-position model. The record is from RNAcentral.